Molecule: non-coding RNA, 680 nt
Organism: Pelodiscus sinensis (Chinese soft-shelled turtle)
Lineage: Eukaryota; Metazoa; Chordata; Testudines; Trionychidae
Source: RefSeq, a predicted model, not a curated record
GGACCAGCAGGGACUGGCAGUGGGAGGGCUGUGUUAGGAGGCAGACUCCUGUGUGGCCUUGGUGAGGUUGGGCUUGUUUGUGUUUCUCCUGGAUCAUGAAUUGCUGGCUGAGAUCCAUGUGUAGAAAGGCCUUGAGCACCCGUGUCCAUGCAUGAGUUAAUGUCUAUCCUUUGUGGCUUUCCCAGACAUCCUCCCCAAGUGAGUUGAAUGUACCCCUGUAGGACUGUCUGCUCACUUGAAAUGGACCCAAGCCAAGAGGCAGAUGAUUGUGGCUGAGUUUCAGCAGCUGCAGCAGUUUCUGGAAAAACAAAGCCCAGCUGGAGAAAUUAGAUGAGGAGAUUGGGAGGUUCCAGAUUGACACUGUCAGGAACCUCUCCAUGCAGAUUUCCCGUAUCAGCGAGGGGAUCAGGCAGCUGGAGGGGACAUGUCAGAAGCCAGCAAGUGAAUUCCUGUAGGACAUCAGAAGCGCCCUGAGUAGGUGUGAGAUGGGGCAAUUCCAGCUGCCAGAAGAGAUUUCUCCUGAACUAGAAGAACAAGUCAAAGGUUUCUCCCAGAAAACAAUUGCUCUGUCUGAGACUCUGAGGGAGUUCAAAGGUACCUGGAGGGGAUGGAGGAGGGAAAGUGGUUCAAGUAUCUGAGACUAUUGAAUCUGAGCUCUGAAGCCAACCUUCCCCUGCCUC